Monomorium pharaonis (pharaoh ant) is the source of this 4042-nucleotide long non-coding RNA. RefSeq lists it as uncharacterized. NCBI's taxonomy places the organism in Eukaryota, Metazoa, Arthropoda, Insecta, Hymenoptera, Formicidae. The record is from RefSeq and is a predicted model, not a curated record. The transcript has 2 exons.
AAUAAAAACUCAUAAAUUUAAUAAAAUUUACUGUCAAAUAAUUUUAAAAAAUUAUCUUAAAAACAAUUUAACUGUUUCAUCUCCUUUUGCUUUUAUGCGACUGCAAUAAUUAAUUCUGGGUUUACAUUUCGCUUUCUAUACACUAUUUGUGACUCAAUUUAGAUCAUCAUUUUAUCGUUGAGUAACCUAAAGAUUAUAAUGCAUUCAACCUUGUUGAACUUCAUUGUAAGAAGCCAACAUAAAGUAGUGGCGGUGCACGAGCAAUAUUUGUGCCGACAAGUAUUGUUCGGCUCGUUGCCCCGGCUACGAAUAGCCUCUCAUUGUCCGCGGUGGAUUUUCAUCCGAACAAUGAAGACGUCAGUCAUAGUUUUCUUAUCGGCGUUAGAUUCGUCCGCAAUCGCGCACGGACCUCCCUAAAACAAUACGACGGAAAAAUCGCUACUGGUAUCAUUAGAAAGCAGAACGCUGCGCACCAAGUCAUAACAAAAAGAAAGGUAAAAAAAUUUUAUAUUAUUACAUUUAGUCAAGACGAGAGUUCAAGAGCAUUUUGGUUUAAAGAGGAAGUUCAUCAAUAUUAGCGUAUCACUUUGUCUUUAGAUAAUAUUUCUUAAACAAAAGCUAAAAAUAAAACUUUGAAAUAUAAAUUACAAAUGUAAACUAGAAAGUGUCUAUCAAAUGUAUAGCAGUUUUUAUAAAACUGUUUUAUAUUUUGUAAUAAUUAAUGUUUUUCGCAACAUAAACAAAAUUAAAAAUGUGAGAAAUUGGAUUCUAAAAUUAAUAUAGAUGGCUACAUUUUCCUUUUUCUUUCUUUAACAUGAACAAUUUAGCACAGAACAUUUACAAGUUUAUGUAUAUGAGAAUUUCUAAAAGCCUUUCACUUCGAUGUAAAACUUUUUGUCGAUUAUACAAAUACCUUGUGCUGUUCUGUAAGAUGCACAUGUAACGCGAUUAUAUGAUAUACAAUAUAAAGAUUAGAUUAGAUUUCAUAUAGAAAAAAGCUAUAAAAUAUAAACGUAUAAACUUCAUUUCUUCUUUUUUUUUAUUUCUUCAAUUAUUAAAGAUGUGUUUUAUCAGCAUUAAUAGUGUAAUAUUAAGUUGCCAAGAAAUAACGGAGAGCCGUCUUUUUAAAAGAGAAUUUAUACCAAUAUUGGUGAAAUAUUCCAAUAUUACCUUUCUUUAUAGAAAUAUUAUUUAAAGUCAAGUCAAUAAUGUUUUCAAAUUAAAUUAAUUUUAAACGUGUCGUAUUGAAUUUUAAGAUCGAGAAGAUAAAUAUGAGAAUAUAUGUGCCGAUUGUUCUAAAAUUCUUUAGAUGUUUUGAAAACUGUUGUGCUUGUUACUUUUGUAAAAAAAAAAAAAAAAAGGAUUUAAUAAAAGAAUUUUCUUAUUUUAUAAUUUAUAUAUAUUUUAUAGGAAUUAGCAUUCUCUUUCUUUUGCUUAUAAUUUUUGGAUCAUUCUACCAAAUAAGAAGAGGUUAGAAGUUAAGAAAAUUUACUUAUUGAAAAUGAUCACUCUCAACUUGAAGUUUGACUUUUUAACAUUAUAGAUUCGCAGAAUAAGAUUUCUUGUCGCGUAAUGCAUAAUGCAGUUUACAUAAUAAUCGAGAAUCUUUUUCUCGGUACGCCAUUAGAGGAAGUGCCACCGCUGAUAAAGGGGAAAAUGGGAUUACGAGGAAAAGAGAGCGAUAUCGUGUCGCCAGGAAAGAGCUCGAGUCGCGUGAACGGGCGCGAUCGUCGCAUGAUGAUUAAUUUCCGGUCUGGCGGCAUCAAAUCCGCGAGAGAAAGUGAUUUACAUUUUAGACGUGUAUGUACUACACACAGUCUUAUAUAAUCGGAACGUUCGGCGAAUUUAGAGGUAGGGAUUCUUUUUCACGGGAAUCCUCAGGGCAUUCAUAAUCAGGGUUUAAAGUGAUCAGAUUCGUUGAGGCGGUACGUUUCUGACGCUCUCCCGGCAUCGCUCCCGUGGUAGUAUCCCAGAUUUAACUCUACUUUUCCAUCGUCUCAAUUCCACCAAUUUCCCGACGAUAAUUUCCCAUCGGAACCCGCCCGAUCGAUUGAUUCUACUUUCGGAUCGCGACUUCGGGUUCGCUGACCGUCCUCGAGUAUCCAUUCGAUUUGGGGAUUCAGUAGAAGGAGGAGGAGGAGAAGAAGAAGAAGAAGAAGAAGAGAAAGCUGUGAAGGAUACAAAGGAAAAUUGGGAGGAAAAGGAGGUGAAAAAAGUCGCGCGUAGCCAGUCGGUUGACACCGGCAGGGGGGAGGGGGGUUGAAAACGAGAAGGAAACGAGACGAAACGAUGUUUCUAGCUAACGGACGCGCUUAGCCCACCGUGAAGAGACGAGACAGAAUGGGGUAGAGUGGGGAAGAAAACGAGGAGAAAGGGAAAGAAGAAGCUCCGGCUGUCUGCAUUCGUCGACGGUGGAAGUAACGAGAGAAGUAACUUUCCCGAGAAAGUUUAGGCCAGUCGAUACUGAUGCGUCAAGCGAGCUACGAUAAUCCGCCACGAUAAUCCAGGAUCUAACGGCGGAAGAACUCGUUCUCUAUAGAUCGGUCAAGUUGGGAUCAAGCCUUGUGAGUCGUAACGAAGAUAAAUAAUCCUGAGGAUCAAGGGUGGCGUGCGAAAUCAAGGACGGAAAUGAUGAGCUGUAAAAUAGAUUCGGCGCUGUGUGUGUGUGUGUUUGAUGCACGAAUUAUUAUGAGAUAUAAUUAGCGAGUACUGUUAGCACAUUGGACGUGAAUUCGCUUAACACCGUAUACCGUUCGGCACGUGCGGAGUAAAUUCAUCAUGUGAAUUAUGUAAACCGUUAAACGAGUCUUCUGAAACGUUCGGCGAGAACAAUCGUGGCAAUUACGGGGAAUACAAGAGGCGAAUUAAGGACGAAAAGUAGACGAUUAGGGAAAGUUAAUAAUUAAGGUUACUGCCUUUUAGUACAGCACGGCAUUCUCGUUAAUUCCCAUAAUCGAUAAUACGCUCAUCUUGAAUUAUAAUCGUCUGUGUUAAACGGUUAACGAUGUUAUGAAACGAGCAGUUAAUUGAAUGUUUCUCUUUUAUAAAAUAAAUUCAUUGUAUAAACUUAUAGUUUUAAUAUUUUAUUAUUUGUUAUAUAACAUUAGUCAAAGAGCAUACCAUCUCUUUUAGAAAAAUGAACUAAAGAUAGAAGAUUACCAAUACCAGUUAGCACAGUUUGGUUUUAAAUAAUAUUUCUUAAAUAAUAGCUAAAAAUAAAACUUAAGGAGACUCGAUACGUUUACAAAAUAUCUCAAAGGGUCCUAAUACUUGCACACAUUGGUGUCGGUGCUAAAAUACGCAUGUUACAUGAAAUUUCAGACUACAUUGCCGAUUAAUUAUUGGAAUGCAAUCAAUUGUAGAGCUAAUUAACAUUGCUCUUAUGGAAGUCGUAAUAUUUCUCACCGAAAGUAGUGUAUUUUCUCGCUGAAAACAUUUGCGUAACCAAAUUUUGAGAGUAGUUAAGAAUCAAUUUUUUCAUUCAUGACAAGAAUAAUGUUAAUAUCCGACCAUUUUCUAAAAGUAUUUAUCAUUAAAAUGUCAAGUAGGUGGAUUAUGUUAGAUGUGAAAUCGCGGAGAUCGGGCGCGCAUAAUUCAAAUCUUACGUAAAACCUCCUUGUCAAUUUUUCUUCUUUUUGCCCUUGCUUCCAAGCAAUGUUUCAUCUGAGCAACCACUUUUGCUUUGACAAAUUGACCUUUCUUUUUCCCUCGAGUCUGUAUGAUGUUAAGGUAUGACAUUUUGACAGAAAGAAUUUUCGUCUAACCAUACGUUAGAAAAGCGAUACGCGUGUGCAUGACUUAGCGUCUAAAAUGAUCUACUCGGUUCAUCAUUUUGACGUAUUUACAUUGCAUUUGUAAAUAAAUAAAAAUAUUCAACAUUCUUAUCGUUAAAAUAAAAGUUAAAAUUAACUUUUUUAUUUUUGUUCAAAUUCAUACGGAAUUAAGAACAUUUUAAUGUAAUACUUUUUAUUGACUAAAGAUGUAGAUCGAACCUCCUUAAAAAUAAAAAUGUUAAUUAAAAAGUGUUUCUUAUCAAAUGAUA